GGUGGAGUUUAGUCUACCGAUUGAACUGCAUGGCUAGAAGUCUAUGGAACCUUGACUUUCUCCGUGGGAAAAAUAUUUACAAGUGGACACAACGUUGAAGGAAACAACCAAGACACGCUGAAUACCUAAUAUGAGACCUGACUUCAUGCGGGAUAUUGCUUUAUUUUGCGACAGCUGUCAGUAACGCGGUUACGAAGGGCUCGGGCCAAUAUUAAUAUUUACAUAAUCGCGCUGAUUUAGGGCUCGCUCGUCUUUGAAUUGACUUCAAAUGGAAGACUGCGCGCACUGAUAUUUAAGUCAACUCACAGAUCAACUUGCUUCACAGGCGAGAUAUAAAACAUGUACAGUAUUGUUGAUUAUUUUGGGUAAUUCAGAAAAACAAGUUAUACAACAGGGAAGUGUAGUUUUAGUUGCGUCCUGGUCCUAAAGCCGGUCGUGUAUUCGGCCGUUGCGCGGUAUCCAGCGCGCGCCCCAAUGCUUCAACUGUGGUCGUGUUCCAAAUCAUUAGACAUGAAGAUGGAUAGUGUUUUGUUAGAGCAAGGCUAAUAAUUUUUUUGCAGUAUAUAAUCCACAAUCACGCGAAUACAUAGUGACUUAAUUGGAUAAGUUGUAAUUUUUACGCUUCUGAAAGCAGUUUCUUCUUGGAGCGUGUAGUAAGGCAACGCGAAGGAGGUCUGUAUCGAAGCACCCCAGCAUACUACAAACGGUUGAAGGGAUUUUAAGUGGAGUAAUGGUGGUAAACACGGUCCACUGGUUCAGGAAGGGCUUGCGGCUCCACGACAAUCCUUCACUCAGAGACUCUAUCCAGGGAGCGGACACUGUCCGCUGUGUGUACAUCCUCGACCCCUGGUUCGCCGGAUCCUCCAACGUCGGGAUCAGCAGGUGGAGGUUUUUACUGCAGUGUUUGGAAGACUUGGAUGCCAGCCUCCGCAAACUCAACUCACGACUCUUUGUUAUCCGUGGCCAACCUACCGAUGUCUUCCCCAGGCUCUUUAAGGAGUGGAACAUUACUCGUCUGUCCUACGAGUACGACUCAGAGCCAUUUGGAAAGGAGCGAGACGCGGCCAUCAAGAAGCUGGCCAGUGAGGCAGGUGUGGAGGUGAUAGUUCGCAUCUCUCACACACUCUACGAUCUGGACCAGAUCAUCGAGCUGAAUGGAGGCCAGUCUCCGCUCACGUACAAGCGCUUCCAGACCCUCAUCAGCAGGAUGGAGGCGGUGGAGACCCCGGCAGAGACCAUCACAGCAGAAGUCAUGGGGCUGUGCACCACGCCGGUCUCUGAAGACCACGAUGAGAAGUUCGGGGUUCCUUCUUUGGAAGAGCUUGGCUUUGACACAGAAGGUCUGUCCUCAGCUGUGUGGCCUGGAGGAGAAACAGAGGCCCUCACUCGUCUGGAGAGGCACCUGGAGAGGAAGGCUUGGGUUGCCAACUUUGAGCGUCCAAGAAUGAAUGCCAAUUCACUGUUGGCCAGUCCCACUGGCCUCAGUCCAUAUUUAAGAUUCGGCUGCCUCUCCUGUCGACUUUUCUACUUCAAACUCACAGACCUCUACAGAAAGGUCAAAAAGAACAGCUCACCUCCUCUGUCCCUCUAUGGCCAAUUACUGUGGCGUGAAUUCUUCUACACGGCUGCCACCAACAACCCAUGCUUUGACAAGAUGGAAGGCAAUCCUAUUUGCGUGCAGAUCCCAUGGGACAAAAACCCGGAGGCUUUGGCCAAGUGGGCUGAGGGCAGGACUGGUUUCCCCUGGAUCGAUGCCAUCAUGACCCAACUGAGACAAGAGGGCUGGAUCCACCAUCUGGCCCGACACGCAGUCGCUUGUUUCCUCACCCGCGGAGACCUGUGGAUCAGCUGGGAGGAGGGCAUGAAAGUUUUCGAGGAGCUGUUGCUGGACGCAGACUGGAGCGUGAAUGCAGGAAGCUGGAUGUGGUUGUCCUGUAGCUCCUUCUUCCAGCAAUUCUUCCACUGCUACUGUCCCGUGGGCUUCGGCCGCCGCACAGACCCCAACGGAGACUACAUACGGCGAUAUUUGCCAGUGUUAAGGGGAUUCCCAGCAAAGUAUAUCUACGACCCCUGGAUUGCUCCUGAAAGCAUCCAGAAAGCAGCCAAAUGUAUAAUUGGUGUACACUACCCCAAACCCAUGGUGCAUCACGCGGAGGCAAGCCGCCUCAACAUAGAGCGUAUGAAACAGAUCUACCAGCAGCUGUCCUGCUACCGUGGCCUGGGGCUGUUGGCAAUGGUGCCAUCGAACCCUAAUGGCAAUAAUGACAAUUCCACAACCAUAAAUGGUUUCCAAACAGGAGAUGUGACCAAGGACAUCAGUGCACCUUCAGGCUAUUCUCAAGAUGAAUGGCAUGGCAGAACGAUGGUUUACUCACAAGGAGACCACCAAACAAGCAGCAUCAUGCCACCGCAAGGUUUUUCAGGCAACACUAGUAGCACAAUGUGCUACAGGCAAGAAUCACAGCAGAUAUCUGGUGCUGCUGUACAGCCAGGACGAGGGCUUCACAGCAGCACCUUCCAGACAUCUGGAAAACGACACAGCGAGGAGUCUGGACCUGCCACAGGCUCAAAAGUCCAGAGGCUGAGCAGCUCCUAAACAUCAGAAAUGGUCGAUGCAAAGUGGUCAGCAAGACUUCGCAGAGGCCUGUUUUGUUUUGUUUUGUUUUCGCACCUUUCUCGAGUUGUUACGUUUUGCAUUUCUACAGAGGAAACCAAAAUCCCACUGACGGGAGCGAUUGAAGGGAGUGCAUGAUUCUCUAUAAGCACAUCAACACAUACCACUUCGAAAACAAUCAGACUGUACAUUAUCACCGGGACUUCACCCCAAGCAGUCAGCAACAUCCUGACAACAUUGGAAUUACGUUGUGGCUCUGAGAUCUGCACAGCUGCAAUAUUGUGUCAACGUUGGGCUCAUGUUUGUACUGUUUGGGACUUAAUUUUUGUGUAUAUAAGGAUUUGAAAAAUACUCACAUACAAAAUGUAAAUAUUUAACAUUGUAUGUGCUUUCUCUAUUUCAUGUAGUUAUAGACCCAUUGAUAUAUUUUUGAUAUAAAGAAUUAUUGUCAAUCAAUUUUACUCUCUUCUUUAUGAAAACAUUUUAAAACAUUUGUAGACUGUCCAUGCAGUACAUUACUAAGCCUCUCCUCGGGCUGCUUGCUUGCACUAUGUUUUUCUUGAUUUCUCCUUUGCAUGCUUGUUCUCUCUGUCUCUACCACAAAUGUUUGUGAUCUGUUAUUUUUCAGACUGGCACCUGUCUUGUACACCUUCUCAGUCCCCGUUUACUCCUCCUCUCUAUCUGGGUGUCUCUUCAUUGCUGUAAACAGUGUUUCUCAUCCUCUUACAUUGUGCUUGUUUAAUAAAGUAAAACUGUAAAAAAAAA
RNA transcript from Carassius carassius (crucian carp), 3379 nucleotides. It is a transcript of the gene named cryptochrome-1-like, with no coding region annotated. The transcript has 15 exons. Lineage: Eukaryota; Metazoa; Chordata; Actinopteri; Cypriniformes; Cyprinidae. The record is from RefSeq and is a predicted model, not a curated record.